Molecule: ribosomal RNA, 438 nt
Filed under: uncultured bacterium
Lineage: Bacteria
Description: partial 16S ribosomal RNA
Rfam family: Bacterial small subunit ribosomal RNA
Source: RNAcentral
CUACGGGGUGCUGCAGUGGGGAAUAUUGCACAAUGGAGGAAACUCUGAUGCAGCAACGCCGCGUGGAGGAUGACACUUUUCGGAGCGUAAACUCCUUUUAUAUAGGAAGAUAAUGACGGUACUAUAUGAAUAAGCACCGGCUAACUCCGUGCCAGCAGCCGCGGUAAUACGGAGGGUGCAAGCGUUACUCGGAAUCACUGGGCGUAAAGAGCGUGUAGGCGGGUUAAUAAGUCAGAAGUGAAAUCCUAUGGCUCAACCAUAGAACUGCUUUUGAAACUGUUAACCUAGAGUGUGGGAGAGGUAGAUGAAUUUCUGGUGUAGGGGUAAAAUCCGUAGAGAUCAGAAGGAAUACCGAUUGCGAAGGCGAUCUACUGGAACAUAACUGACGCUGAGACGCGAAAGCGUGGGGAGCAAACAGGAUUAGAUACCCGGGUAGUC